GGCAAUCCAUUCUAUCUUUGAAAACACAAAUUGACCAAGUUCAUCACAGAUUCAUAUUCCAGUGUCAAGUCUGUUUAAAUUUGACGAAAAGGAUGCAUCAAUAUUACAUUUGAAUCGUCCCAGAGUCGGCCUUUUCCAAUAAACAGCAGCAGAAUCUAUUUGUGCCGCGGUCGCAUUAUGCAAAGCACCAAGUGGUAUCAGAGAUUUGAUACAGGCGAACCUGCAAAAUCUGAAAGGAUUUGCCGAGUCAUUGAAGGUCCAAUCAAGAAGCUUAAAAUUCUUUUCUAUUUCAACAUUAAUAAUGAAAUUGCAUUUAGGCCAACAAUUUAGGGGUUUGAGGCUCAAAUAUCAAAUUUUGCAUUCAAACUCAUCAUGAGACAUAUGCUCAAUUUCGCAUCUAAGGUAACCAAAAGCACACUACCAUCAUGCCAAUUUAUCACUAUUAAGAAAACAUCAUAGAGUCACUGUAUCAAGAGUGGUCUCAACAUGCAUAUCAAGUUAUGAAUAAAAAUUCAUAAUAAAAUUGAAUCUAGGGUCAUCAAAGGACAUAUGUUCAAUUUUCGCAUCUAAGGUCACUCAACGUGAAAUCAUCAUCCCAAUUUACUAUUACGAAAAAGCAUAGUAUAGCCAUCGUUUCAAGGGUCACAUAUUCAAGUUAGGGACACAGAGGGACAUAUCUUCAAGUUAGUCAUCUCGACUUGCAUUUAAAGUUAUGAAUAAGCAUUCACAUUGAAAUUCCAUUCAGACAAUCAAUCUAGGGACAUCAAGGGACAUAUACUCAAUUUCGCAUCAAAGGCACGAAGGCACACAACCCUCUUCACAAUAUACCGUAAUAAGAAAAUCAUUAUCAACUUGCAUUUUGAAUAAACAUUCAUAUUUCAAAUUACAUUUAGACCCUCAAAAUUUUCAUGUAUACCAUCCUGAUUUCAUAUGAAUAAAGAAUUCAUAUUGUAAGCCACAUAUUUGGUCAAAAAAUUCAUCUCAUUGGGUCAUCCAAACACAAUAUCCCAUGACUUGUCUUAAGAAUUUUUUUAGCAACAACACAAUUUCUUAGGCCAAAUUACCUUCUUAGGUAUGAAAAAUCAAGAUUCGCCAAUUUACCACACUCUUGGAUGAUACAAAAAACUACCCAAAACAACAGCUAUGUCAAACAAUAGUUUGAAGAAUCUGUUACUUCAUGAAAGACAAAAGUGAGUCAAAUCAAUUAAAAAAAAAUCCAAAAGAUACAGGAUAAAAUUUGAAACAAAGAUGUAGAAGUGAUAAAAAUCACAAGAACUCAAAGUGAUACAAGCAACACUGCUAAACUUGAAAGGGUUUGCAGAGUCAUUGAAGGUCCAAUCAAGAAGCUUAAAAUUCUUUUCUAUUUCUACAUUAAUAGCCAACAAUUAGGGGUUAUAAGGCUCAAAUAUAGAAUGCAGUCAUCAAGCGACAUAAACUCAAUUUCACAUAUAAGGUAACCAAAAGCACACUACCAUCAUGCCAAUUUAUCAUUAUUAGAAAAGCAUCAUAAAAGUCAUUCUAUCAAAGGUCGUCUCGACAUGCAUAUCAAAUUUUGAAGCUUAUGUAUAUAACUUCAAUCUAGUUUCUUGUGUUAUAUAGUUUAUUAACCCACAAAUCUUGCUGCAUUGCUGAAGAGCAAUCUAUUUUCUAUUUCAUUAUCAUGAAUCAUUUCCUGCUUUGAUUAGCAAACUCAAUUGUGUUAUAUAGUUUAUUAACCCACAAAUCUUGCUGCAUUGCUGAAGAGCAAUCUAUUUUCUAUUUCAUUAUCAUGAAUCAUUUCCUGCUUUGAUUAGAAAACUCAAUUGUGCUUUACAUUGCUUUUGAUAAAACAAAUAGAUGGCUAGCUAGUACUAAUUUACUUCUGUUAAUAGCUUUUAUCAAUGAGCACAGAGUAUAACUCAUUUUGGACUGGUUGUAGACUUCAUUUCUUUGUAGUCUCUUUGGAGAUUGAAAUGAAUGGUACUUUGGUUCUGGGAUCGGCUCAAUUUAUAUGGAACUAGGCAUCAGUUUUAAGGUUAAUUGCAAAUUUAUGAUUGUAAAAUUGCCAUUUCUGGUACUUAACGCCUGGUUUGCAAUCAUUGCAUAGAAAUGGAGUGAGUUUGGUAUAUUUUUAGAUAUACUGUUGAUUGCUAAGCGAUCAAGUGGCUGAAGUGUUUUGGAGGUUGUUAUCAACUUCUGCAUGCUAGUAAAGUUCUUUUCAUGGGAUUGACUCACUAAUUUGAAGGCCCUGACUCAGGGGAAUGGUCGACUAACAACUCAUGUUGUUCAUAUCUUCUGUUAUUGGCCUUUUUAAGCAAUCUAACCUUCAUCAUAAAAUAUCUGUUUAUAGCUUUUCCUAUUAAAGAAUUGAGUUUUGAAAUAUUAAAAGCUCUUAUAACCUGCUGUAGCAAGUCAAACUGGUGGUACACCAGUACACUGCAUCUAAAGUUCUGCUGCACCAUAUCCACGUAGGCGGUGACCUGGUUUUAUGAAAAUGUCACCAUAUCAAGUUUUGAAUAAAAAUUCAUAAUGAAAUUGAAUUUAGGCCAAAAAUAUAGAGUCAUCAAGGGACAAAUAUUCAAUUAUCGCAUCUAAGGUCACACAGCACAUAAUCAUCAUCCUAAUUUGCCAUUACUAAAAAGCAUACUAUAGUCAUUGCGUCAAGGGUCAUCUCCACUCACAUUUCAAGUUAUGACUAUGCAUUCACAUUGAAAUUACAGUCACUCAAACCAUCAACUUGGGUACAUCGAGGGACAUAUAUUCAAUAUAGGGACAUAGAGGGACAUGUAUUCAAUUUAGGGACAUCAAUGGGCUUAUAUACUAUUUUGCAUCCGUGGCGCCACGAGUCAUCUCCACUUACAUUUGUAGUUAUGAAUAAGCAUUCACAUUUAAAUUCCAUUCAGACCAUCAAUUUGGGACAUCGAGGGACAUAUACUCAAUUUCGUACCAAAGGCACCAAGGCACACAACCCUAUUCACAAUAUACUAAAAAUGUUCAUUUUCAGGCCAUCAAGGGACAUGCAUAUCAAUUUCAGACCAUCAAUUUAGGGACAUCUAGGGACAUAUUCAAGUUAGUGAAAUCGAGGGACAUAUGUUCGAUUUAGGGACAUUUGGGGACAUGUAUUCAAUAUAGGGACAUCGAUGGACAUAUAUACUAUUUAGCCUCUAUAGUUCCACAUGUCAUAUCCACUUACAUUUGAAGUUAUGAAUAAGCAUCCGCAUUGAAAUUCCAUUCAGGCCAUCAAUUUAGAGACAUGGACAGACAUAUAGUCGUCAUUUUAGGGACAUUGAGGGACAUAUAGCCAAUUUAGGGACAUCAAGGGACAUAUACUCAAUUUAGCAUCAAAGGCACCAAGGCACACAACCAUCUUGCCAAUGUAUCGCAACAAGAAAAUCGUUAUCAAGAUCCGACUUGCAUUUCGAAUAAACAUUCAUAUUUCAAAUUGCAUUUCAAAAUUUCCAUGCAUACCAUCCUGAUUCCAUAUGAAUAGUUUAAACNNNNNNNNNNNNNNNNNNNNNNNNNNNNNNNNNNNNNNNNNNNNNNNNNNNNNNNNNNAACAACAUUACAAGCAAAAGAAAUACAGAAAUCAAUUACAUGUGAAGUUAUAGCAACAUACUAACAUUGUGAAGGGGUAG
Molecule: long non-coding RNA, 3614 nt
Filed under: Trifolium pratense (red clover)
Lineage: Eukaryota; Viridiplantae; Streptophyta; Magnoliopsida; Fabales; Fabaceae
Description: long non-coding RNA (TPRA_LNC011496)
Source: RNAcentral